This 428-nucleotide ribosomal RNA is filed under the name uncultured bacterium. RNAcentral's name for it is "partial 16S ribosomal RNA". It matches the Rfam family "Bacterial small subunit ribosomal RNA", at positions 354 to 796 of the family's 1533-position model. The record is from RNAcentral.
GUGGGGAAUAUUAGGCAAUGGGCGAAAGCCUGACCUAGCAACGCCGCGUGAAGGAAGAAGGCCUUCGGGUUGUAAACUUCUUUUAUGAGGGACGAAGGACGUGACGGUACCUCAUGAAUAAGCCACGGCUAACUACGUGCCAGCAGCCGCGGUAAUACGUAGGUGGCGAGCGUUGUCCGGAUUUACUGGGUGUAAAGGGCGCGUAGGCGGACUGGCAAGUCAGAUGUGAAAUACAGGGGCUCAACCCCUGAACUGCAUUUGAAACUGUUGGUCUUGAGUAUCGGAGAGGCAAGCGGAAUUCCUAGUGUAGCGGUGAAAUGCGUAGAUAUUAGGAGGAACACCAGUGGCGAAGGCGGCUUGCUGGACGACAACUGACGCUGAGGCGCGAAAGCGUGGGGAGCAAACAGGAUUAGAAACCCGAGUAGUCC